GGUAGUCCACGCCGUAAACGGUGGGUGCUAGGUGUGAGCGGUAUUCCACGCCGUUCGUGCCGCAGCUAACGCACUAAGCACCCCGCCUGGGGAGUACGGCCGCAAGGCUAAAACUCAAAGGAAUUGACGGGGGCCCGCACAAGCAGCGGAGCAUGUGGCUUAAUUCGACGCAACGCGAAGAACCUUACCAAGGCUUGACAUGCAGGGAAAUCCUCCAGAGAUGGGGGGUCCGUAAGGGUCCUGCACAGGUGGUGCAUGGUUGUCGUCAGCUCGUGUCGUGAGAUGUUGGGUUAAGUCCCGCAACGAGCGCAACCCUCGUUCUAUGUUGCCAGCGCGUGAUGGCGGGGACUCAUAGGAGACUGCCGGGGUCAACUCGGAGGAAGGUGGGGACGACGUCAAAUCAUCAUGCCCCUUAUGUCUUGGGCUGCACACAUGCUACAAUGGCCGAUACAAAGGGCUGCUAAGCCGCGAGGUGGAGCGAAUCCCAAAAAGUCGGUCUCAGUUCGGAUUGGGGUCUGCAACUCGACCCCGUGAAGUCGGAGUUGCUAGUAAUCGCAGAUCAGCAACGCUGCGGUGAAUACGUUCCCGGGCCUUGUACACACCGCCCGUCACGUCACGAAAGUCGGU
RNAcentral lists this ribosomal RNA (627 nucleotides) under uncultured bacterium. Its description in RNAcentral is "bacterial SSU rRNA". It matches the Rfam family "Bacterial small subunit ribosomal RNA", at positions 789 to 1415 of the family's 1533-position model. The record is from RNAcentral.